GAUGAACGCUGGCGGCGUGCCUAAUACAUGCAAGUCGAGCGAACAGACGAGGAGCUUGCUCCUCUGACGUUAGCGGCGGACGGGUGAGUAACACGUGGAUAACCUACCUAUAAGACUGGGAUAACUUCGGGAAACCGGAGCUAAUACCGGAUAAUAUAUUGAACCGCAUGGUACAAUAGUGAAAGACGGUUUUGCUGUCACUUAUAGAUGGAUCCGCGCCGCAUUAGCUAGUUGGUAAGGUAACGGCUUACCAAGGCAACGAUGCGUAGCCGACCUGAGAGGGUGAUCGGCCACACUGGAACUGAGACACGGUCCAGACUCCUACGGGAGGCAGCAGUAGGGAAUCUUCCGCAAUGGGCGAAAGCCUGACGGAGCAACGCCGCGUGAGUGAUGAAGGUCUUCGGAUCGUAAAACUCUGUUAUUAGGGAAGAACAAAUGUGUAAGUAACUAUGCACGUCUUGACGGUACCUAAUCAGAAAGCCACGGCUAACUACGUG
RNAcentral lists this ribosomal RNA (497 nucleotides) under uncultured bacterium. Its description in RNAcentral is "partial 16S ribosomal RNA". It matches the Rfam family "Bacterial small subunit ribosomal RNA", at positions 28 to 507 of the family's 1533-position model. The record is from RNAcentral.